UACGGAAGAUGCGAGCGUUAUCCGGAUUUAUUGGGUUUAAAGGGUGCGUAGGCGGACUAUUAAGUCAGCUGUGAAAGUUUGCGGCUCAACCGUAAAAUUGCAGUUGAUACUGAUAGUCUUGAGUACAGUAUAGGUGGGCGGAAUUCGUGGUGUAGCGGUGAAAUGCUUAGAUAUCACGAAGAACUCCGAUUGCGAAGGCAGCUCACUGGAGUGUAACUGACGCUGAGGCACGAAAGUGUGGGUAUCAAACAGG
This 253-nucleotide ribosomal RNA is filed under the name uncultured bacterium. RNAcentral's name for it is "partial 16S ribosomal RNA". It matches the Rfam family "Bacterial small subunit ribosomal RNA", at positions 524 to 776 of the family's 1533-position model. The record is from RNAcentral.